This is a long non-coding RNA of Phyllostomus discolor (pale spear-nosed bat), 98 nucleotides long. RefSeq lists it as uncharacterized. The transcript has 3 exons. Lineage: Eukaryota; Metazoa; Chordata; Mammalia; Chiroptera; Phyllostomidae. The record is from RefSeq and is a predicted model, not a curated record.
AAACCUUGACACUUACCUUGUUCAAAUUUCCUCUUAAUUAACAGCCCCCUUAUGUCCCCACAUAUCACAGGAAGUACUUGAGGAUGAAAAUUCAGAAA